RNAcentral lists this long non-coding RNA (361 nucleotides) under Gossypium barbadense (sea-island cotton). Its description in RNAcentral is "long non-coding RNA (GBAR_LNC014942)". Lineage: Eukaryota; Viridiplantae; Streptophyta; Magnoliopsida; Malvales; Malvaceae. The record is from RNAcentral.
AUAGACUAAACGCACUCGUUUUUGACUAGACAAAAAAACUCACCAUAUCACUAAUCCACUCAAAAGAAACGCAACGUUUAACUAAUUAUUUUUAACAGUCUUAACAGAAAUAUAAACAAAAAUACAACCGUUAGCUAAACCAUAACAAUUGCCCGCCCUCGAAAGGAUCCUUGUCCUCAAGGAUCAAAUGUGAGAAACCGAUGCUAUAGAUCCAACAAUUUCUCCCACGAAGCAUCCUCAGAAAAAGUAUUCGCCCAUUCGACCAAUACCUCCACUACAGCUUGAUUCCCAUGUUUGACCAAACGCCGAUCCAACACUCGAACUGGUGACUUAAGAAGGGCACUAUCCGGACUAAUUAGUG